AGACAGAGGGUGCAAACGUUGUUCGGAAUUACUGGGCGUAAAGCGCGUGUAGGCUGUUCAGCAAGUCGGGUGUGAAAGCCCAGGGCUCAACCCUGGAAGUGCACUCGAAACUGCUAGACUAGAAUCUCGGAGAGGGUGGCGGAAUUCUGGGUGUAGAGGUGAAAUUCGUAGAUAUCCAGAGGAACACCGGUGGCGAAGGCGGCCACCUGGACGAGCAUUGACGCUGAGACGCGAAAGCAUGGGGAGCAAACAGGAUUAGAAACCCCAGUAGUCC
This 274-nucleotide ribosomal RNA is filed under the name uncultured bacterium. RNAcentral's name for it is "partial 16S ribosomal RNA". It matches the Rfam family "Bacterial small subunit ribosomal RNA", at positions 523 to 796 of the family's 1533-position model. The record is from RNAcentral.